AUUUAGUUAUUUAUGUUUCACUAUUUUCAGAGACACAAAUUUUGAUCCAACAUAAUAAUUUCAUUCAAGAGAAAGAGCUCUUAAAAAUACAUAAAUAUAGUUUGCAAUUUACUUCAAACUAUUUCCUAAAAAUAAUAUGAUAAUGAAUCUAAAACUUUCCAAAUCUCUAAAUUGUUGCUACUAUCCCCUCCUUGCCAUUAUCAUUCUCUUAUGCACUUGAUAUGUUAUUGAGCUAAUUGACAAAGCUUCAGAAUCACCUUUACAAGCAAAGUAUUGAAAAUGAAAUUGCAAGCAAAGUAUCAGGGAAAACAAGUUAC
This 317-nucleotide long non-coding RNA is filed under the name Medicago truncatula (barrel medic). Its description in RNAcentral is "long non-coding RNA (MTRU_LNC001800)". The record is from RNAcentral. Lineage: Eukaryota; Viridiplantae; Streptophyta; Magnoliopsida; Fabales; Fabaceae.